This 95-nucleotide microRNA precursor is filed under the name Podarcis lilfordi (Lilford's wall lizard). Lineage: Eukaryota; Metazoa; Chordata; Lepidosauria; Squamata; Lacertidae. The record is from RNAcentral.
UUUUGAAGAUUAACGUACGUGUGUGUGUGUGUGUGUGUGUGUGUGUGUACACACACACACACACACACACACACACACAGAGGUAUAUAAACCUU